This is a long non-coding RNA of Cyprinus carpio (common carp), 1851 nucleotides long. Lineage: Eukaryota; Metazoa; Chordata; Actinopteri; Cypriniformes; Cyprinidae. The record is from Ensembl.
AUGUUAUAUUUUUACAUAUUUCAGAAUCCAAUGUCAGAAAAGAGGACAGGGAGAAAGCAGAUAAGGAAAGCAAAGAAUAGGCUAGGUCAGAAGCCAGGGCAAAAGUUGAACCAAUGGAGUGAGGAUAGGAUGAAGGGUGCGAUUAUGGAGUAUAGGGAGCAGGUGGAGACAGGGCAGGCUCCUCAACUUCGCAUGAUUGCACGUGCAUGGAAUGUGCCAAAAAGCACCCUCCAGCGGAGGGUCAAGAAUCAUGUACAAGGCUACAAGCAUGCUUCGGGUCGCAAACCAGUCUUACCUAAAGAGAGUGAGGCAGAGUUGGUUAAGAUGAUCAAGACCCUUUCCAAGAGAGGUUUCCCACUUAGAAGAAAGGAGAUCCAGUUGCUUGCCUACCAAUACGCACAAGCAAACAACUUGCCUGGAUUUUCAGAAAAAAAAAAGAGGGCUGAGCAGUACUGGUUUGAAAAUUUUAUGCGCCGAAAUCCUGACCUCAGCCAAAGGAAACCGGAGGCCCUCUCUGCUGCAAGAGCAGCAGGGAUUAACCCCACAGCAAUUGAGAAAUGGUUCCAGCAGUAUCAAGAUCUUCUUACUGAGCUGGGAAUCAAGGAUGUGCCUUCCCACAUUUGGAAUUGCGAUGAGACAGGAAUGCAGGACCAUUUUCUAUCAGCCACUGUGAUUUCAGAGGUGGGGAGUGCUUGCUACGAGAUAACGUCAGGCGAAAAGGGGGAGACGACAACAGCUUUGGCCAGCUUUAAUGCUGCAGGGGACUACGGUCCUCUCUUGGUCAUCUUCAAAGCCAAGAGGCUAAAAGCAGAGUGGCUUUAUAAUGUUACUCCCAACACAGUAGUGAAGGUGUCCGAUAAUGGCUGGAUAACAACUGAGCUGUUUUUAGAUUGGGGGAAGCAAUUCGUGGACAUGCUCCCUAAGGAUGACCUCAGACCACAUGUGCUGCUGCUGGACGGCCACACCAGUCAUGUAUUCAACAUUGAUUUCCUGAGGCUCAUGCAGUCACACAGGGUACAUGUGGUGUGCUAUCCUUCCCACACCACCCACUGUCUGCAACCAGCCGACAAGUCCCUCUUCAAGUCCCUGAAACAUCAUUGGGGGAGUUUUUUUCCUUGUUUGGGAGGGCAUGGAGGAGGGCAAGCACAGUCCAGACUGCCCAAGCUGGCUUCAGGGGGACUGGGAUGUACCCAGUAAAUCCCAUGGCUAUACACCCCAAUGUGUAUGAGCCAAGUCUGACCACCGAAAGGCCACUGGAGCCUGAAGGAAGUGCACAGGAACAUGAAAAUCUGGAUUUGCCAGAGAUCCCUGAUAGGAUUGGGGCAGAAGUGGCUGUUGGGGAGGAUGCCACUAACACAGGCCAAGAAGAGGUGUUAGAGGGAGUGUCUUUUGCCACACUAAUCCCAAUUCCAAAGAGAGAGAGAGGCAAGAUGAGAAAGAGGUCCAAACCACCCUCUUACCACCUAACCAGUGAUGAACAUUUUUCAUACAUUGCCUCAAAAAAACAAACAAAGCCUACCAAAAAAAACAAAAAACCAAAAACAAGAAAGAUGGAGGGUACAAGCUCGGAUGGCCAGGACAUUUGCAAUAUUUGUAAAGCCAAAUUUGGUGAUGCAAAUGAUCCAAAGAAGACAGAGGACUGGAUCAUGUGCAUUGUUUGCGAGGACUGGUUCCAUGAGACGUGUGGCGAGGAGAAUGGCCUCAUUGAAGACGGGGAGGCGUUCACUUGCACUGGCUGUAUUGACGUGUAGAUUAACCUACCAUACAGAAAUUAAAUUAAGCCUGUGUGCAAUCAAUUAAUUCCUACAAGAAGAGAUGUUAAUGAAGGUUAUUAUUAUUAUUUUUUUUUUU